CAAAAGCAGGACUAGUUUAUCCAUUGAGAAGGCCUGGCUUGUUUAAUGCAGCAGCAAGAAAUCUUGCUGGAGAGCAAAGAUGUGAAAACCAUCAGUGAGAAACUGGAAAAGGUUAAGCCAAUGGGAUUUUUGAUUUCAGUGAGAAGUCAUCACAUAGGAAAUGAUUGUGUGCUUGGGUCAAGGAGACUUGUUGUUUUAAUUAUUGUCAGGAAUAAUCCUCUGCUUUUGUGUCUUGUGAACAGGGUGCUUUCCCAUGUUGCUUGUGACAAAGAAAGUCUCAUUCUGUGAUCACCAGGUCUGUGCAAAACAGAAUUCUCGGCACCAAUAUGAGUAUCUUCACCAUCCUAUUGAGUUUGGCAGAUCAACUUGCACAGGUCUCGGUCGAUCAGCGGAGCAUCCUCUGGGCUCUCCACCAGUCCUCUCAGCAGUCUGAGGGUCACCGCUCACCCCUCUCCAAGGGCAAUCCCUUCGCUACCCCCAAGGGGACACCUGUUAUACACCAAAGGAGAGCCCAGCAGGCCCACCCAACCCAACCCCACCAUCCAGCCCCAGCACUGCAGGAAUGCCCUGGAGGACACGGCUUAACUCCAGCACGAAUAGUUCCUCGCUUCCGUCGUCAGAAAUUACGAGGAUGACCAGAGUUCACUCAUUAUAUAGACACCCUGAAUGGGACUCAGGAAUGGGACAGUCUUCGUCCCGGCCCUCUGUGUAGGAGUGGAUUUCACUCGCUGAUGGAUUGGAGGUCUGGUGAAAUCCACAGCUUGCUUUAAAAGCAAGAUCUCGUGAUUGUACCAUCGGCCCAACAGGACACCUUUAGAAAAGGAACAUUUUAAGUCCUAUGACAUCAAAGGAGUUGAACUUGAGUGGCAAGGAACUGAAAUCUGUGUGUUGCCAGGCUCUGCAUAUUGUCACAUGAAAUGAAUAGUUCCCUGGAGCCAAACCAGAGAUGCGUCCCCUGACUUCUACGGGCUUUAUAUAUGCAGUAUUAAUUGGUGUACUGGCUUAGUCAAAAGAGUUACUGUUGCUCCUGAUUUUUCAUCGUUGGUGACACAUGCUGCCAGACUGAGACCGUGUGCUCUGUCAUUUUACCAGUUUUCACUAAGUGAAAUGUUGUUCUGGAUGUUCUCUGACAGGGGGAGUUGGAGGGGCUGGCGGCCCCCACAGGGAAGUGCUCCCCUGUCUGUGAAUCCCUGCGGCAUCCCUUGGGAGCUGCAGCCCGGGCACGUGUGUUUGCCAAGGCUGCUCCUGGCACGGCUGGGGACAGGACAGGAUUUGGGCAGGAGCUGUGUGGUGCCCUCAGCACGUGCCCUUGUGCAGUCCAAAGAAAGGGAGUUUUAUUGCAUUCCCAGGAACUGCUCCAACAGCUGUGGACUUGCCCCUGCCUUCUCAGGGUAAGGAUGCGGUGACAGCAAGAAGGCUGUUGGUGGGAUUGGAGGGCACUUGCUGCAUGUUGGUCAGAUGUGUAACCUGUGGAAUGGGUGUGUUUCCUGGGAGAAAACAUUCUGGAGUGGCAGAAUGGUUGCCACAGACACCACGUGAGUGCCACACCACGGCGUGAGCCUUCAGGCCCUGCGAGUCCUCACCCAGACUUGGUGAAGUGUUGAAGUGUGAACUGAUUGCUGGGAGUAAGGAUGUGUCUGGUAAGUGGCAGUGCUGCCCACUGAGCCGCUGUUUCUGGAGAAGAGGGUCCUGUCUGACAGGCAGCAGGCAGUGGACAUGGCUCAGUUGCCACGUCUGCUAUGGAUGGGCACAGAACUGGACAGCUGUGCUUCUGGGAACAGUGGUGGCUCGUGGCUGAGGUGCUGCUGCUGGAGAGGGCAGUGGUGGUGUCUGCUGCUGGGCAGAUGGCCGGGAGCGGGUCAUAUCCAGGGAGCAGUGCAGGCAACACGAGCAGGAUGUUGGAGGACGUGGGAUUUCCUUGGAAGUUCACCUGUUUGUUAGCUCUCCUCCUGUGGCUUGGAGUCUCUUGGGUAGCUUGUGCCCUGUGUCAGGUGGUGAGGUUUCUUUGGUUUGGUUUUGUUUCUCUCGAUCAAACGAAAAGGGUGGGUCUUACCAGGAAAGAUUCAGGAGGUUUUCAGAAACGUUGGAGAGAGGUGGUCUAAUGUUGGCGGCAAGUGAAUACAUUUGAUAAGCUGUGGGGUUCUGCAGUUCAGUUGUUCUAAAUUAGGCGAUUACCUUAGUGAGCAAUUGGAGUCAUUAUACAGUGCGGAGUGCAGAAGGAUUUUUUCUGUCAGCUUUUUUCUGUGAUGGUUUUUUAGUGUCUUUUAAAGCUCUCCUACAACCUCUCCACCAGUGUGCUUUGCUGCACUUGCUGUAGGGGCUGGAGGUGUUUGCUCUCUGCUCGGUCGGUCCCCGCCUUCCCCUGAAUUCCCUGGCACUGCAGUUCCGGGGGUUUCCCAGCAGACGGCAGCACUGAGCGCCAAGACCUACGGUGAGCGCGCGGCUGGGGAGGGGGCAGCGUAAGUCCUCGGACGCCACACUCAAGAUGGCGGCGGCGUGAUUGGAAACGCUCGAGGCCACACUCAAGAUGGCGACGCCCUCACCGGAAGUCUUCGCGGCCCACACUCAAGAUGGCGACGCCCUCACCGGAAGACGCCGCGGCCCACACUCAAGAUGGCGACGCCCUCACCGGAAGACGUUGCGGCCCACACUCAAGAUGGCGACGCCCUCACCGGAAGUCGUCACGGCCCACACUCAAGAUGGCGACGCCCUCACCGGAAGUCGUCACGGCCCACACUCAAGAUGGCGACGCCCUCACCGGAAGUCGUCACGGCCCACACUCAAGAUGGCGACACCCUCACCGGAAGACGCUGCGGCCCACACUCAAGAUGGCGACGCCCUCACCGGAAGUCGUCACGGCCCAAACUCAAGAUGACACCGCCCUCACCGGAACGUGCAGAGCCACAACAAAGAUGGCGGCCAGCACGCGAGCAGUGGAGCGGACCGCGGGCGGCAGUCGUGGCGGCGGCCGCAAGCACCGGCGCGGGCAGGCUCCAUUCGGAGACGCGGCACAGCCGUGAGGACGAGGACCCCUGAGCAAGCACAGCUCUGCUACGAACCCUCCACCGGAGCGCUUUGCCGCACUUGCCGUGGGGGCUGGAGUGAGAAGCAGCUGGAGGUGUUUGCUCUCUCUCUGCUCGGUCCCCGCCUUGCCCUCGGUUCCCUGGCCCCGCCGGUAAUCGCAGCUCACCUUGGGUUUUCCGGGGCCCUUGCUGAAGGGUUUCUAAGUGUGGCCCUGAGAUUUUCUGCAGGUGGAAUGGAUGGCUGUUUCAGAGCACUUGUCACUGGGCUGUCUGCGUUUUAACGCUUGCCAGGGCAGGAGAAUUGCAGCAGGAGAAGGGUAAUUAUUCAUCUGAAGUUGUAAGCGAGUGCAGGAGAAAUCCUAGGAAGGCACCUGGAUGUGUAGUUAGGUGUUGGAGUACCUUUGGCUGGUAGAAAUAGCAGACGGGUUUUCUCUGUGGAUCAGCUGCAGACAAAGUGGAGGGUGAACAAUUGACUGCAACAAUACAUGGAUGAGACAGAAAAGGCUGGUGCUGGAGCAUGUUUAAGAAGCCAGCAUAGGGAGCUUCAGUCUUCUAAAAUUAGAGUCUGGAGGCGAGUGGAGUUCCUGCUCCACACCUCAGGACUAGUGAGGGAUUUAUCUUCCUCUGCUUCUCCUUUCUCCCUGUUUCCCUCCCCGCUCCGUCGUUCGGUCGGUUUGGAUUUUUAUUUUCGCCUGGUGUGGAGCACAGCCCUUUUGGAGCAUUUGGGAGUUGAGAACUGCCUGGGUUCAGAUCGAGUUGCAACCUGAACUCAGUUUAUGAACUGCUCCGGGACCUCCCUCUUUGCCGUCUCGUUUUCUGUGGUCCAUGCAUUCAGUUUCAGAGUUCUGUGAUCCCGGCCUCAUCUUGUCCACCUCACUUGGACUCCCCGGAGGAAAAGGUAGAAGAGAGUUACAGUAAGAAUCACGCUUUUCAGCAGUUGGUUUCCAUAUGUUUAUAUGUUCAGCUUUUCUGUGGAGGGAUGUCAUCGCUUUCAUCAUAUGCUUGAGGACAGUUUUUUUCCAGAAAUGAUUAUAUGUAGGCCAGGAUUUCACUGGAGUGUCAUCAGCUCCUUGGGAAUUGCUUGAAGGUAGGAUUGAACUUUAUUCUGCACUUCCUGUCCUUUCCCCCUGCAGCCGAAGCGUCGGCUCUGGGUCGUGCAGGACUACAGCUGCCAAGGCCAAGCUCUGAGAGUGGGAGAACUUCCUCUUCAAGAGUUUGAUUUUCUUUGGCAUCCCUCAGAAUUUCCAUCAUAUUUGGUAUGGAAUCCCUCAGAGGGGUUUAUCUCCACAUAAGCCCUGAAUAUGCCAGUAGGUUUCAGCUGGGAGAAAGGAGCUUCCGGUUUUUCCAUCUGACGUGUCACGGGCUGGUUUAAAGUUUUUAGCUAAAAUCUCAGCCAGCUGUUCCCAGAGCUCAGGUUAAAGGACGAUUGCCACACUCAGCUCAGCUCAGCUCACUUCUGCAGCACUUUAUCAGGAAGGCUGGCAAGCCACAGGAUUUCAGCUGCCUUAGGCUGGGGAACAAGCCCCUGUUUUAGAAGCUUUCAGGCAACUACUCAAAUGGAGUUUUCCUGAGAUCCAGCCUGUCCAUGGCAGCUUCCCAUCCAUCCUGGGAAACUGGGCAGGGACCCCACUAAAUGCCCUCUGCGCUGGGCACAGCUUUUCUCCCUGGAGAGGUGCUCCAGCAGCACUUGGCAGUGAGCGCUGGGGGUUAAUCCAUAGGAAUAGUUACAUCCGUGAUCACUGCCGGGCUCUUUGCAGGCCUGAAUUUCCCACUAAUGGGAGAUGAGCCUCUGGAAUUGUCCCUUCCAGCACAGCAGCUGAGGUUUGUGCCAGCCCAUGUGGGAAUGGAUUGAUCCUGAUUGUUGGACUCUGGAGUCUCUUAAGAGCUGGAUUAUGGAAAACAGAGAAGAAAAUGGAUAAACCCCUCAGUGUGACCCGGUGACUUUUGGGCAGGCCUUGGGAAUUUGCAGAGGGUGCAUUCUGGGAGAGGAGCCACUGCUUCCCUUCCCAGCAAACGACGGGAAAGGCAACCCAGAGUGUGAGGCUUGGGAAGGAAUUGGCACCACGCCUGGAAAUGUUUCCAGUGCUGCUGUUUCUUUUUUCCCACUCUUGGCCAAGGCUGGGUAUGCCGUUGGUUCCCAGAGUGAGGGAGGUUUUCCUGGAUUGUAGGGAUUGCACUGGACAAGUCUCCUGGGUGUUUGGGGGCUGUGUGGUCUCUUUUCUCCUGAAUGGAAGAGGGGGGGAAGUGGGACAGUCCCGAUAGUGGCAGAGACACGGGAACAGCCCACUUCCAGGGAGGACUGCGUUGCCGAGCUUGUGGUUUGCACCCUGAGGUGGUCUUUCCUGUUACUUCUACUUUUGAGCCUGUUGAAAUGCUGGUGUAGAUUUGGGAAGAGCCAAGUAAGCUGGAGCUGUGAGGUUCUUCCUGCCCGAAAUCCAUGGUGAUGUUUUGCCUGGCUUUCCCAAGUGGACGCAAGAGCCUUGGAGUCGUUGCAUCCCCUGGAAAACCAGGUCAGGAGGGUUCGUCUGACUCUGCCCUGACCUGUGGCUUCCAGGGAGCCUCCUGCUGUUCUGGAUCUUCCUGGGAGAGGACAUUCCCAUGCCUGCUUUUUAGACAAGAAAUCCCAAAUGCAGUAAGUCAGUCCCAUCCUGUCUGAGCUGUGCCAGUGGUGAGGUGUGAGGGGGAAUGCCCCGUUCUGCACUUUGAGACAUUGACUACCUCUUGACUACCUCAAGUUUACUGUCAAAACCUUCCCCUCUUGUCCACCGCUGCGUGCCUCAUAAUUACCUCCAGGUCUUCAUUCUCUACUGUGGAGAUGACGUUUUACUCCCAGAAGAUGAAGUUUUACUCCCAGAUUUUCCCUGCGUGUCCACAUCUGAUUAGCCCAGUUUUACCUCAUGAUGUACAUUCUCUCUCCUACAGAUUACCUCAGAUUUUACCCACAAAAAAUUUUCCCUACCUUCCCAUUACUGACUGCCUCAGUUUACCUCAAAGUGGUCAUUCUCUCCUCUUCAGAUUAGAUCAAGUUUUACCCCCCAAAUUUUCCUUCCUCUAUGUUCUCAUCACUUUUUUUAUCCACACCCAGCACAGCCCACCUUGGGGAAGGUCCAGCUGCUCAUUCCCAACCACAAGCAAACAUCCAGUGCCAGUGUCUGUCAGCCCCUGCUCCCUCUGCCCUGGACCCCUGGCACCCCUGGAUUGACUCGGUGCCCACAAACCGCUAAUGCCACCAUCAGGUUUCUCUGCCCACCAAGGGCACACCACCCAGGAGGGACAUUUCUCCCCGUCUCCCCCACGGACCUCCACAUCCAAUUCAGGGAGCACCAACUUAGUUCUGGGCUGGGAAAUAAGGGAGUGACAAGAAACGUAUUUAAAUCAUUCCAGCCUCAGUGGUGCCCAGGCCUGGGAGAAAGACCUUGGCACCACCCUCUUGGAUUCUUCUUUCCUCUCACUUGCCUUGCUCCCAGCUUUGGAAGGUUUGUCUCAGGCUGCGUUUCAUGGCUGUUCAGGGCAGACAUCUGGUGGCCAGCCUGGUGCUGAUAGCUGGACAGAGCAAAGCUGGCACUAGACAAGCAGUGACUUCCAUAUUUGUGCUUCACUUAAAAAGCAAACACCUCUGUGCUGUUUGACAGCUCAUCUUCACAAAGAUGCAAAGGCUUUUCCCCUCAGGGUAGCAAUUCUUCCCAGAAAAAGAGUUAUUGUGUCAUGAUGUUUUACCUAAUUAUUCUACUGGAACUCAUUUCUUCUCUCCUUCAAGCUUCAGGGACUUGCUGGUGCUGGGUGUGCAUCAGAGGAAGCGCUGGGGGGGUGGAAUACCCAGCCCGAGUUACGCCUGCAAGUGCACAUCCACCCCGGGGUCAGAGUCAGAGAGGUUUCCUGCACACCAAACACCACAGCCCCAGGCACCAGGAGCCUGCAGGUGCUCUGCAUUGCAAUCCACAGCCUCCCUCAAUCCUGCACGGGAAAGCAAAGGGAUUUUUCCUCCUGAGGGAGGAAAACACACAACAGCAAGUGCUGUCCCAGCUGAGCUGGCCCUUGUGGGCAGCUGCAUCACUGAACAGGAGAAUCCAUCCUGGCUCACUCUGUUCUUGUAAAACAGUGCCCACCCUGUGGGUCUGGGCUCUAAAAGCUCCAUUUAGGUCAGCAGAAAGCUCUCUGGCUGGGGCAAUUCACUGAAUUGACUGGUAGGUCCUGAAAUCUCUUUCCAAGUGCAUGAAAAGCCAAAGGACAAGGUGCUGCAAGCAGAGGUUCCCUGAACUGCAGGGAAAUGGCCCUGAGUGUGGCUUUGGGCUGCUGCCCCCGCUGCACACUGUGCUCUCCAGAGCAGUAAAAAGCUUUGCCUCUCUUUUACACACGUCCGGGAAAAAAAACCACACUCCUGCUGGAGAAGUCUUGGGUUUUCCUUUGGCAUUAACUGAACUGGCACAGCUCAAAGCGAUGCCAUGAAAUUCUCCAUCUCCAAAAUCCAGGUUCUCCUUUGCCGUGGGGUUUUUGCCGUGCCACAGUCCAGAGGGACCUCUGGCAGCUGCACUGCCCAAGAGCUGCCUGCUGGGAAACUUGCCACCCUUGGGAGGGAGACAGAAAUAAAGUAAUUCAGGGCACUACCAGCAAGUGUUGGAUAAAAAUACCGUAACAUUCCUCCAUGCCCCCUUUGUAAACAAGCACUAAACUGCUUAACUACACUUUCAGUUGAACCAGUUCGAGUCCAUUGGUAAAUAAUACAAUGUUAACUUUUGUUUUGUUUUAAGUUUCAGGGGAAAGGACAAGACUGAAGCAGUGACCCAGCAAAAUAAAACUCAGGGCUCAUCGGCACUA
This is an RNA transcript of Myiozetetes cayanensis, 7838 nucleotides long. RefSeq lists it as uncharacterized. The record is from RefSeq and is a predicted model, not a curated record. NCBI's taxonomy places the organism in Eukaryota, Metazoa, Chordata, Aves, Passeriformes, Tyrannidae. The transcript has 8 exons.